AACGAACGCUGGCGGCAGGCUUAACACAUGCAAGUCGAACGCACCGUAAGGUGAGUGGCAGACGGGUGAGUAACGCGUGGGAACCUACCCCUUGGUACGGGAUAGCUCCGGGAAACUGGAGAUAAUACCGUAUGUGACCUGAGGGUCAAAGAUUCAUCGCCAAGGGAUGGGCCCGCGUCGGAUUAGCUAGUUGGUGGGGUAACGGCCUACCAAGGCGACGAUCCGUAGCUGGUCUAAGAGGAUGAUCAGCCACAUUGGGACUGAGACACGGCCCAAACUCCUACGGGAGGCAGCAGUGGGGAAUAUUGGACAAUGGGCGCAAGCCUGAUCCAGCCAUGCCGCGUGAGUGAUGAAGGCCCUAGGGUUGUAAAGCUCUUUCACCGGGGACGAUAAUGACGGUACCCGGAGAAGAAGCCCCGGCUAACUUCGUGCCAGCCGCCGCGGUAA
This 447-nucleotide ribosomal RNA is filed under the name uncultured bacterium. Its description in RNAcentral is "partial 16S ribosomal RNA". It matches the Rfam family "Bacterial small subunit ribosomal RNA", at positions 29 to 523 of the family's 1533-position model. The record is from RNAcentral.